CAGGAUGAACGCUAGCUACAGGCUUAACACAUGCAAGUCGAGGGGCAGCAUGAUCUAAGCUUGCUUAGAUUGAUGGCGACCGGCGCGACGGGUGAGUAACGCGUAUCCAACCUUCCCUAUAGUAGAGGAUAGCCCGGCGAAAGUCGGAUUAAUACUCUAUGUUUUCCAAUGCAGACAUCUAAAAUGGAACAAAGGUUUACCGCUAUAGGAUGGGGAUGCGUCUGAUUAGGUUGUUGGCGGGGUAACGGCCCACCAAGCCUACGAUCAGUAGGGUUCUGAGAGGAAGGUCCCCCACAUUGGAACUGAGACACGGUCCAAACUCCUACGGGAGGCAGCAGUGAGGAAUAUUGGUCAAUGGGCGAGAGCCUGAACCAGCCAAGUAGCGUGCAGGAUGACGGCCCUAUGGGUUGUAAACUGCUUUUAUAUAGGGAUAAAGUGACCCACGUGUGGGUUUUUGUAGGUACUAUAUGAAUAAGGACUGGCUAAUUCCGUGCCAGCCGCGGC
RNAcentral lists this ribosomal RNA (504 nucleotides) under uncultured bacterium. RNAcentral's name for it is "bacterial SSU rRNA". It matches the Rfam family "Bacterial small subunit ribosomal RNA", at positions 25 to 518 of the family's 1533-position model. The record is from RNAcentral.